GAUGAAGAACGCAGUGAAAUGCGAUAAGUAAUGUGAAUUGCAGAAUUCAGUGAAUCAUCGAAUCUUUGAACGCACAUUGCGCCCGCCAGUAUUCUGGCGGGCAUGCCUGUCCGAGCGUCAUUUCAACCAUCAAGCCCCCGGGCUUGUGUUGGGGACCUGCGGCUGCCCGCAGGCCCUGAAAACCAGUGGCGGGCUCGCUGUCACACCGAGCGUAGUAGCAAUCACCUCGCUCAGGGCGUGCUGCGGGUUCCGGCCGUUAAACAGCCUUACAAAACCCAAGGUUGACCUCGGAUCAGGUAGGAAGACCCGCUGAACUUAAGCAUAUCAAUAAGCGGAGGA
RNAcentral lists this unclassified non-coding RNA (339 nucleotides) under soil metagenome. Its description in RNAcentral is "partial contains 5.8S ribosomal RNA, internal transcribed spacer 2, and large subunit ribosomal RNA". The stretch from base 1 to 120 matches the Rfam family "5.8S ribosomal RNA", at positions 35 to 154 of the family's 154-position model. The record is from RNAcentral.